Molecule: ribosomal RNA, 94 nt
Filed under: uncultured bacterium
Lineage: Bacteria
Description: partial 16S ribosomal RNA
Source: RNAcentral
CUACGCGUUGUAAACUGCUUUGGUACGGAGAAAACCUAUCUACGUGUAGAUAGCUGGAUAGUACCGUAAAGAUAAGCAUCGGCUAACUUCGUGC